RNAcentral lists this ribosomal RNA (254 nucleotides) under uncultured bacterium. RNAcentral describes it as "partial 16S ribosomal RNA". It matches the Rfam family "Bacterial small subunit ribosomal RNA", at positions 524 to 776 of the family's 1533-position model. The record is from RNAcentral.
UACGUAGGGUGCGAGCGUUGUCCGGAAUUAUUGGGCGUAAAGGGCUCGUAGGCGGUUUGUCGCGUCGGGAGUGAAAACUCAGGGCUUAACCCUGAGCCUGCUUCCGAUACGGGCAGACUAGAGGUAUGCAGGGGAGAACGGAAUUCCUGGUGUAGCGGUGAAAUGCGCAGAUAUCAGGAGGAACACCGGUGGCGAAGGCGGUUCUCUGGGCAUUACCUGACGCUGAGGAAGCGAAAGUGUGGGGAGCGAACAGG